GCCCGCUCAGAAACUCAAAUGAAGUUGACGGGGGCCCGCACAAGCGGUGGAGUAUGUGGUUUAAUUCGAUGCAACGCGAAGAACCUUACCUGGUCUUGACAUCCCGGAGACCCUUAGGAACUAGGGGUGCUUCCAUCUGGAAGAAUCUGGAGACAGGUGCUGCAUGGCUGUCGUCAGCUCGUGUCGUGAGAUGUUGGGUUAAGUCCCGCAACGAGCGCAACCCUUGCCUUUAGUUGCCAGCAGUUCGGCUGGGCACUCUAAAGGGACUGCCGGUGUUAAACCGGAGGAAGGUGGGGAUGACGUCAAGUCCUCAUGGCCUUUAUGACCAGGGCUACACACGUACUACAAUGGCCGAUACAAAGGGCAGCGACACUGCGAGGUGAAGCCAAUCCCGUAAAAUCGGUCUCAGUCCGGAUUGGAGUCUGCAACUCGACUCCAUGAAGUUGGAAUCGCUAGUAAUCGUGGAUCAGCAUGCCACGGUGAAUACGUUCCCGGGCCUU
Molecule: ribosomal RNA, 500 nt
Filed under: uncultured Desulfobulbus sp.
Lineage: Bacteria; Pseudomonadati; Thermodesulfobacteriota; Desulfobulbia; Desulfobulbales; Desulfobulbaceae
Description: bacterial SSU rRNA
Rfam family: Bacterial small subunit ribosomal RNA
Source: RNAcentral